RNAcentral lists this ribosomal RNA (253 nucleotides) under uncultured bacterium. Its description in RNAcentral is "partial 16S ribosomal RNA". It matches the Rfam family "Bacterial small subunit ribosomal RNA", at positions 524 to 776 of the family's 1533-position model. The record is from RNAcentral.
UACGUAGGGAGCAAGCGUUGUCCGGAAUCAUUGGGCGUAAAGCGCGCGUAGGUGGCUUCGUAAGUCCGUUGUGAAAGUCAAAGGCUCAACCUUUGAAAGCCGAUGGAUACUGUGAAGCUGGAGUACGGUAGGGGCAGAGGGAAUUUCCGGUGGAGCGGUGAAAUGCGUAGAGAUCGGAAAGAACACCAACGGCGAAAGCACUCUGCUGGGCCGACACUGACACUGAGAGACGAAAGCUAGGGGAGCGAAUGGG